AGUGAACGCUGGCGGUAGGCCUAACACAUGCAAGUCGAACGGCAGCACAGUAAGAGCUUGCUCUUACGGGUGGCGAGUGGCGGACGGGUGAGGAAUACAUCGGAAUCUACUUUUUCGUGGGGGAUAACGUAGGGAAACUUACGCUAAUACCGCAUACGACCUACGGGUGGAAGCAGGGGAUCUUUGGACCUUGCGCGAUUGAAUGAGCUGAUGUCGGAUUAGCUGGUUGGCGGGGUAAAGGCCCACCAAGGCGACGAUCCGUAGCUGGGCGGAGAGGAGGAUCAGCCACGCGGGAGUGGAGACACGCACCAGGACCCAGCGGGAGGCCGGAGUGGGGAAUGUUGGACAAGGGGCGCAAGCCUGAUCCAGCCAGACCGCGUGGGUGAAGAAGGCCUUCGGGUUGUAAAGCCCUUUUGUUGGGAAAGAAAAGCAGCAGGUUAAGACCCCGCUGUUCGAACGUAACCCAAAGAAGAAGCACCGGCUACCUUCGU
Molecule: ribosomal RNA, 491 nt
Filed under: uncultured bacterium
Lineage: Bacteria
Description: partial 16S ribosomal RNA
Rfam family: Bacterial small subunit ribosomal RNA
Source: RNAcentral